GGGGUCGUCGUCUAGCCUGGUCAGGACAUCGGGCUGUCAAUCCGAAAAUCGCGGGUUCGAAUCCCGUCGACCCCG
RNAcentral lists this transfer RNA (75 nucleotides) under Candidatus Omnitrophota bacterium. RNAcentral's name for it is "tRNA-Asp". It matches the Rfam family "tRNA". Rfam says of the family: Transfer RNA (tRNA) molecules are approximately 80 nucleotides in length. Their secondary structure includes four short double-helical elements and three loops (D, anti-codon, and T loops). Lineage: Bacteria; Pseudomonadati; Candidatus Omnitrophota. The record is from RNAcentral.